This 437-nucleotide ribosomal RNA is filed under the name uncultured bacterium. Its description in RNAcentral is "bacterial SSU rRNA". It matches the Rfam family "Bacterial small subunit ribosomal RNA", at positions 25 to 507 of the family's 1533-position model. The record is from RNAcentral.
CAGAGCGAACGCUGGCGGAAUGCUUAACACAUGCAAGUCGCACGGGGGCUUCGGCCUUAGUGGCGGACGGGUGAGUAACGCGUAGGAAUGCGUCCGAGGGUGGGGAUAACGUUGGGAAACUGACGCUAAUACCGCAUAUCCCCUGAGGGGGAAAGCAGAGAUGCGCCCACGGAGCAGCCUGCGUCCGAUUAGCUAGUUGGUUAGGUAAAGGCUGACCAAGGCGACGAUCGGUAGCUGGUCUGAGAGGAUGAUCAGCCACACUGGAACUGAGACACGGUCCAGACUCCUACGGGAGGCAGCAGUGGGGAAUAUUGGACAAUGGGCGCAAGCCUGAUCCAGCAAUUCCGCGUGGGUGAAGAAGGUCUUCGGAUUGUAAAGCCCUUUCGUUGGGGACGAUGAUGACGGUACCCAAAGAAGAAGCCCCGGCUAACUUCGUG